RNAcentral lists this long non-coding RNA (613 nucleotides) under Olea europaea subsp. europaea. The record is from RNAcentral. Lineage: Eukaryota; Viridiplantae; Streptophyta; Magnoliopsida; Lamiales; Oleaceae.
GCUGAUUCUUGGAGGGGUCUUUUCUUUUUCCAAAAUUAUUACAAACAUUGUUAUUGAUUCCAUUAUUUUUCUUGAUGAAUCCCUCUUCGUUCUUAUGCUAGCAUAUUAUUUCACUAAAUGCGACUUUGGGAUUAACCUAAUCUUUCUUCUACCAUGCAGCAGUUGAACAUUUGUGACUAUUGUUGGUGCAUACAAUUCAAGAGCAAGCAGAGAAUGAUUGAGUUGCUGGCAAAUUUUCCUUGUUUUUUCAUUUUUUACAUAUGUAUAUCUAAAUAAGAUCGCCUAUGGUAGAAAAGGUGAGCUACCAAGUAGCCACGUUUCAUUUCGCCAAACUUGAUUCCACCUAAAACUUUUUUGACCUAUUCCUCAUCUUCUGAUUUAAACGACCCUUGCGAUUAGGAACCACGGAUGUAUCUAGUAAAUUAAUUCAUAGAAUAUGCCUUCUGGCUAGGUUAUCUUCGUCUAUGCUAUACUUAGUUUGCAAAUAUAUUUGAUUUGUAACCUUUCUUUAUUAUAAUGAGAAAUUUUUAUUUUUCAUACUUGGUUCGCUUAAGAAUACAAAAUUAUAAUAAACUAAUUAACUUUGUUGAGUUCCCACAAUAAGAAUUUGAAC